This 83-nucleotide small nucleolar RNA is filed under the name Salvator merianae (Argentine black and white tegu). The record is from RNAcentral. Lineage: Eukaryota; Metazoa; Chordata; Lepidosauria; Squamata; Teiidae.
UCUCUGUGAUGCUUCCAAUGGAUCCUUCUGAGCCCUUUUAAGCAUAAUCAAAGGGUGUUUGAAGACAUUGUGUGACUGAGAGA